Molecule: ribosomal RNA, 497 nt
Filed under: uncultured bacterium
Lineage: Bacteria
Description: partial 16S ribosomal RNA
Rfam family: Bacterial small subunit ribosomal RNA
Source: RNAcentral
GAUGAACGCUGGCGGCGUGCCUAAUACAUGCAAGUCGAGCGAACGGACGAGAAGCUUGCUUUUCUGAUGUUAGCGGCGGACGGGUGAGUAACACGUGGAUAACCUACCUAUAAGACUGGGAUAACUUCGGGAAACCGGAGCUAAUACCGGAUAAUAUUUUGAACCGCAUGGUUCAAAAGUGAAAGACGGUCUUGCUGUCACUUAUAGAUGGAUCCGCGCUGCAUUAGCUAGUUGGUAAGGUAACGGCUUACCAAGGCAACGAUGCAUAGCCGACCUGAGAGGGGGAUCGCCCACACUGGAACUGAGACACGGUCCAGACUCCUACGGGAGGCAGCAGUAGGGAAUCUUCCGCAAUGGGCGAAAGCCUGACGGAGCAACGCCGCGUGAGUGAUGAAGGUCUUCGGAUCGUAAAACUCUGUUAUUAGGGAAGAACAUAUGUGUAAGUAACUGUGCACAUCUUGACGGUACCUAAUCAGAAAGCCACGGCUAACUACGUG